This 69-nucleotide transfer RNA is filed under the name Bos taurus (domestic cattle). It matches the Rfam family "tRNA". Rfam says of the family: Transfer RNA (tRNA) molecules are approximately 80 nucleotides in length. Their secondary structure includes four short double-helical elements and three loops (D, anti-codon, and T loops). Lineage: Eukaryota; Metazoa; Chordata; Mammalia; Artiodactyla; Bovidae. RNAcentral also lists the same sequence under 1 other name. The record is from Rfam by way of RNAcentral.
UCCUGGGUGGCUCAGGUAAAGAAUCUGCCUGCAAUGCAGGAGAUCUAGGUUCCAUCCCUGGGUCAGGAA